Ochotona princeps (American pika) is the source of this 105-nucleotide small nuclear RNA. NCBI's taxonomy places the organism in Eukaryota, Metazoa, Chordata, Mammalia, Lagomorpha, Ochotonidae. The record is from RefSeq and is a predicted model, not a curated record.
UUGCUCAGUUCAUAACACAAAUACUAAAACUGGAACAAUAGAGAAAAUUAGCAUGGCUGCUUGUGUAAGAAUGACACUCAAAUUCAUGAAAUGUUGCAUAUUUUU